Molecule: ribosomal RNA, 388 nt
Filed under: uncultured bacterium
Lineage: Bacteria
Description: bacterial SSU rRNA
Rfam family: Bacterial small subunit ribosomal RNA
Source: RNAcentral
GACGAACGCUGGCGGCGUGCUUAACACAUGCAAGUCGAGCGGUAAGGCCCUUUCGGGGGUACACGAGCGGCGAACGGGUGAGUAACACGUGGGUGACCUGCCUUUAGCUCUGGGAUAAGCCUGGGAAACUGGGUCUAAUACCGGAUAUGACUCCAUGACGCAUGUUGUGGGGUGGAAAGCCUUGUGCGGCUAGGGAUGGGCCUGCGGCCUAUCAGCUUGUUGGUGGGGUGAUGGCCUACCAAGGCGACGACGGGUAGCCGGCCUGAGAGGGCGACCGGCCACACUGGGACUGAGACACGGCCCAGACUCCUACGGGAGGCAGCAGUGGGGAAUCUUGCGCAAUGGGCGAAAGCCUGACGCAGCGACGCCGCGUGGGGAUGACGGCCUC